AGAGCGUAGGGAGAAUGCCUUGGCAUUAGGAGCCGACGAAGGACGUGAUAAGCUGCGAUAAGCUGCGGGGAUCAGCAAGUAUGAAUUGAUCCGCAGAUUUCCGAAUGGAGCAAUCCGUAUGUGUAUGCACAUACAUCAUAUACUGAAUCAAAUAGGUAUAUGAGGGGAACCGCCUGAACUGAAACAUCUAAGUAGGGCGAGGAAGAGAAAUCAACCGAGAUUCUGUGAGUAGUGGCGAGCGAAAGCGGAAGAGGCUAAACCAUAGGUAGCAAUACUUAUGGGGUUUCGGACAGCAUUUAGUAUUGAUAAUUUCUAGUUGAAACGUGUGGGAAAACGUACCGAAGAGUGUGAGAGUCACGUAAGCGAAAGAGAAAGUCAACGAGCUGUAUCCAAAGUACCGCGGGACACGUGAAACCCCGUGGGAAGAUGGGGGGACCAUCCUCCAAGCCUAAAUACUACCUAAUGACCGAUAGCGAAUAGUACUGUGAAGGAACGGUGAAAAGAACCCCGGGAGGGGAGUGAAAAAGAACCUGAAACCCUAUGCUUACAAGCACCGAGAGCACGUCAAAGUGUGAUCGGGUACCUUUUGUAGAAUGGUCCGGCGAGUUAUUGUAUGCGGCAAGGUUAAGUGCUUAAGGCACGGAGCCGAAGCGAGAGCAAGUCUGAACAGGGCGAGUAAGUCGUAUGCAAUAGACCCGAAACCGAGUGACCUAUCCAUGUCCAGGCUGAAGUGGAGGUAAAACUCCAUGGAGGGCCGAACACACGUCCGUUGAAAAGGCCGGUGAUGAGGUGUGGAUAGCGGAGAAAUUCCAAUCGAACUCGGAUAUAGCUGGUUCUCUCCGAAAUAGCUUUAGGGCUAGCCUCGUGAAAGAUUACUGGAGGUAAAGCACUGAAUGGGCUAGGGGUCGAAAGAUUACUGAACCCUAUCAAACUAAGAAUGCCAGAUAAUUGAUUCACGGGAGUCAGACAAUGUGAGAUAAGUCUCAUUGUCAAAAGGGAAACAGCCCAGACCCACAGCUAAGGUCCCUAAACAUUGUUAAGUGGAAAAGGAUGUGGGGUUGCAUAAACAACCAGGAUGUUGGCUUAGAAGCAGCCACUCAUUAAAAGAGUGCGUAAUAGCUCACUGGUCGAGUGACCCUGCGCCGAAAAUUCAACGGGGCUAAACAAUGUACCGAAGCUUGGGAUUCUAAAGUAAUUUAGAGUGGUAGGAGAGCGUCGAAUAAGGGGUGAAGUCAGAGCGGAAGCGCUGGUGGACUUUAUUCGAGUGAGAAUGCCGGAAUGAGUAGCGAGAAUUAUGUGAGAAUCAUAAUGGCCGAAAAUCUAAGGUUUCCUGAGGAAGGUUCGUCCGCUCAGGGUAAGCCGGGGGCUAAGGCGAGGCGGAGACGCGUAGCCGAUGCACAUACGGUUGAAAUUCCGUAGCCACCGAAAGAUUUAAGUACAGGGACGCUUUAGAAGUGAUGUAGCCGGGCGAUGGUUGACCCGGUCGUAAGGGAUCGAAAAUGAGUAGAGAAGUCAUCAUGGAAAGAGACAAGAAAAGCUGUAUGGAUAUCUUAGGUGCCCGUACCGCAAACCGACACAGGUAGAUAGGAAGAAGAUUCUAAGGCCAACGGGAGAAGGGUUGUUAAGGAACUCGGCAAGUUGACCCCGUAACUUCGGAAUAAGGGGUGCUCAUGAAAGUGAGCCGCAGAGAAUAGGCCCAGGCAACUGUUUAGCAAAAACACAGGUCUCUGCUAAAUCGAAAGAUGACGUAUAGGGGCUGACACCUGCCCGGUGCCGGAAGGUUAAGAGGAGAUGUGAGAGCAUUGAAUUGAAGCCCCGGUAAACGGCGGCCGUAACUAUAACGGUCCUAAGGUAGCGAAAUUCCUUGUCAGGUAAGUUCUGACCCGCACGAAAGGUGUAACGAUCUGGGCACUGUCUCAACAACCCGCCCGGCGAAAUUGUAGUACCGGUGAAGAUGCCGGUUACCCGCGACUAGACGGAAAGACCCCAUGGAGCUUUACUGUAGCCUAAUAUUGGAUUUCGGUAUUUCACGUACAGGAUAGGUGGGAGACUGGGAAGCACAGGCGUCAGCUUGUGUGGAGUCGACCUUGGGAUACCACUCUUGGAGUGCUGGAAUUCUAACCUGCGGCUUUGAAGCAAGUCGGGGGACAUUGUUAGGUGGGCAGUUUGACUGGGGCGGUCGCCUCCUAAAGA
RNAcentral lists this ribosomal RNA (2193 nucleotides) under human metagenome. Its description in RNAcentral is "bacterial LSU rRNA". It matches the Rfam family "Bacterial large subunit ribosomal RNA", at positions 14 to 2296 of the family's 2925-position model. The record is from RNAcentral.